This is a non-coding RNA of Podarcis muralis (Common wall lizard), 1918 nucleotides long. The record is from RefSeq and is a predicted model, not a curated record. NCBI's taxonomy places the organism in Eukaryota, Metazoa, Chordata, Lepidosauria, Squamata, Lacertidae.
AGUCAUAAAGCCAUGGCAGAGGUUUGUAAAUACUGCAGGGUACCUCCGGACCUCGUGACCAGCACUCUGAGCUUUACAAGGUAAUGGCCUUAUAUGGCAUGGGUGCAAUAAAAGCUUGACCGGAUGAGGUAACGUGAGACAUUGGAAUGCAGCCAUGCGGCUGGACAGAACAAAGGAUAAUAAAAAAGUGAUCGGAGAGGAGAAGAGGUCUCAAUGAGCUGCUCUCUCUCUUACUAUGGAAUAUUACUCGCUCUCUAUGUCUUUAUUUUAUACUAAAGAAGUGCCACUUGUAAGGCUGGCUCCGACAAGUGGUGCCCCGUGUGAGGCUGAAUAAAAGAAUACGACUGAGGUUUUUAAAAGAGAGCUAAGAAGCGAUUUAAAGCAAACAGUCUGAGGCAGACUAAGAGGAUUCUAACAGAAACUGUGAGAGGAUUUUUGAUCCAAGCAGUGAAUAUCAUCGGCUCACUACGUCCGGCAAGGAUUGCAAAGCGCUUUACAUCUUUAAAAAAAGAUCCCGGCUUUACUUCAGCACAGAGAGUUCCCUUAUUAUGUUGCACAUCUUCGCUCCCACACAUCGCACCCAGGGUAUUUAGCAGAAGGCAAUGCACGAGCAGAUGCAGCAUUGAGGGACAUUUCUGCCUUUUCUCUCUUUUCUGAUCCUGUACUAUGUCAUAACACCUUUCAUCUCCCUGCGAAAGCAUUGGCUAAGCAGUUUUCUAUUCCUUUGGCCCAAGCUAAGGAUAUUGUGUCCCAAGGUGCUUCCUGUUCCCAAGGAUGCCGUGCGGCCAUGGCGAGCAUCUUCAACCACGGAAGCGCCUUCCUAACCAUUUGCCUUGCCAUCUCUUGCUGCACUGUUAUACAAGGAAGAGAAGCAGACGAUCCAGUCCAGUUGAAACCACCAUAUUUCACCUUAUCGGCUGGCAAGCAGCUGUCGCCUGAAUCCUACUCUGGCUGGCAGUAUCCACGGCUCAGCCACUCUCGAACUAGAAGAACAGUGUUGUUGAAUAAGACUUUUAGGGGAGAAAAUUAUCAUAAGAUAUAGAGGGAUAAUAUUUUUGUACAAGAUAUGAUUAAGUUUACUAGUUUAUUGCAUGCUUCUAAAUGUUGGUUAUGUAUGCACAUGCCACCCUUUGCCAGUCAUUCAGGCAUAAUGCUUCAUGGCGUGCCUGUCAAUGGAUCUUUUCAGUUUACUAAUAUUAUAUCCCCUAAGCAAACUUUUUGGUCUCCAGUACAAUUGACCCUCCAUGAGCCUGCCCCCAUUUGUUUUCGAAUUAAAGAGGGGAAAGAAUCAUGGGGCAUAUAUCCAAACUGUCAAUAUACUUUGAAAUUCAUGUUUAAUAGCUCUUGUUCUCUUACAGCGAUACCAGUGCAUGGUUAUAAACCAGAAAGGAAGCCUACCAUGCAGCUUGGAAUCAGAAUUCUUAUAUUCUUGGCUUCCGGAUGGAAGUUGGCUUUGACAUUUAUUGAUUUUAGUGAUUAUUAUAGUAGUUAUUUGCAUUAUUUUGUGUUGCUAUAUACAAUGUAUUCCUUCCUUAAUUUCUGUAUGUACUGCAUGGUUCUCCAGUCCGCGGCCCGCUUCCGGUCUCACAAGAGUCGCCUAUCGCUCUCGACAUAACCAUUGGUACUGAUAUAUAUGGCUCUUAUUAAAAUAUAAAGAAAGAGGGCAUGUGGGAGUCAUAAAGCCAUGGCAGAGGUUUGUAAAUACUGCAGGGUACCUCCGGACCUCGUGACCAGCACUCUGAGCUUUACAAGGUAAUGGCCUUAUAUGGCAUGGGUGCAAUAAAAGCUUGACCGGAUGAGGUAACGUGAGACAUUGGAAUGCAGCCAUGCGGCUGGACAGAACAAAGGAUAAUAAAAAAGUGAUCGGAGAGGAGAAGAGGUCUCAAUGAGCUGCUCUCUCUCUUACUAUGGAAUAUUA